UUUCUAAAAGAAUAAGAUUUGCAUCACAUAUGUAAAAAUAAUAAUGAUUUAAAUACUACAGGAUAUGCCCAACAUCAAAGAGUUCUUUUUCCACUUAGCAGACUAUGAUAUCCUAUAGUUUACAAAAAGCUCACAUAUCUAGUUCAAAGGAGUAGCUCUUUAAAAUUAAGCAGUGGCCUAAAAACUGAAAUAUUUGGUAUGCUUUUAGAGCUGGUGACUUGCUAACUUCCCUUUGUUAUCUAAUUUCUGGGCACAUUGGCAUACUGGCAUGAUAAAGACAUGGUGACUUUGCUAUAAUUAAAUACAUGUACCGUGUGAUUCUACAGGAAAAAUGCAAGGAAUGCCCACCAAGUGCAUCGCUGCAAGCAUGGGAGUUCCUUGCCUCUCCAGCGACUACCAUCUGAUUCUCCAAUCCGUCAUACUUCAACACCUACAUGAGGAGGCUUAAGUUUUCAAAAUCAAAUGGAAGGUCAAAUUCAAGCAAUUAUUAAGCAAUUCUAUAACUCAACUCACACUGAAGCUGGAGGAUCUCCUAUCGAGACGAAGCUUGCAUUCAGAAGACGUGCCAUCAUACACAUCAAUUACAAAUAUACCAGCUCCCUUCCAC
This 607-nucleotide long non-coding RNA is filed under the name Triticum aestivum (bread wheat). RNAcentral's name for it is "long non-coding RNA (TAES_LNC009639)". Lineage: Eukaryota; Viridiplantae; Streptophyta; Magnoliopsida; Poales; Poaceae. The record is from RNAcentral.